CGGGGUGAGUAAUGUCUGGGAAACUGCCUGAUGGAGGGGGAUAACUACUGGAAAUGGUAGCUAAUACCGCAUAACGUCGCAAGACCAAAGAGGGGGACCUUAGGGCCUCUUGCCAUCGGAUGUGCCCAGAUGGGAUUAGCUAGUAGGUGGGGUAACGGCUCACCUAGGCGACGAUCCCUAGCUGGUCUGAGAGGAUGACCAGCCACACUGGAACUGAGACACGGUCCAG
RNAcentral lists this ribosomal RNA (229 nucleotides) under uncultured bacterium. RNAcentral describes it as "partial 16S ribosomal RNA". It matches the Rfam family "Bacterial small subunit ribosomal RNA", at positions 104 to 334 of the family's 1533-position model. The record is from RNAcentral.